AUUUAGAAUGUGUUCGUGUAAUAUAUUGACAAGUUAUGUACAACUAUUAGAACGUGUUCAUGUGACAUAUAAACAUGCAUUAUGUACUAUUAUUAGAAAGUGUUCAAAUGAUAAAUAUGUUAUUUACUACAAUUAGAGUGUUCACAUGACAUAUUGACAUGUUAUGCCCAACUGUCAGAGCAUGUUCCCAUUAAAUAUAAACAGGAUAUGCACAACAAUUACCAGAUUUUACUAAUUUCAUGACGGUGAGUAUUGUGCUUUCUCUUUCUUUAUUCUACCUCAGCAGCAAAGAAAAAAUGUAUAAACAUUAAAGAAACCAAACUAGACUAAGUACUCAAAGGGUUAACAUAGUCUGCUAUCCUUAACCAAUAGGAACAGUCCUUCUAUCCAUAACCACCCAUGUGACCUCUCCUCUCCCUCUUUCUUUGAUCCUGCCGAAAUCUUAGAAUCUUGCGUAGGUAAUUUGAAUCAUAACCGGUGCGUCGUUAUCUUCUCCAUAACAAAACAUGAACAUUAUCCAAUCGAACGGAGACGAUAACCACUCAUCCACUUCAUCAACUUGAAGUCGUUAAGCUGAAACGGGAGAGAAAAGGAAUAUGGUAACGUGUGGUCUAGCGACUGUUUGUUACAUACUCCACAAGCAUUCCUUAUUAUACUUGACAACCUCUACAGACUACCUUACCUGCUGUAGACUUCCUUAUGUCACAUGCCUCAAUCCUACUAUUCCCUAAACGUCAUACCAACCUCAUCAUAAUUAUCUUAGCAAUACAACUUACUGGGUGGGAGUUCGGAUCUCUUCUUUCAUCUAAUACCAACUUCACGGUACUUACCAUGUUAUCUCCGCGAUCCUUCUCGGGUGGGCCAAUACUCGCCUCUGUGUCCUUUAUAAAAUCAUGACUUUACG
Non-coding RNA from Pelobates cultripes (western spadefoot toad), 904 nucleotides. Lineage: Eukaryota; Metazoa; Chordata; Amphibia; Anura; Pelobatidae. The record is from the annotation of a GenBank genome assembly.